Molecule: transfer RNA, 67 nt
Filed under: Figites sp. ZJUH 20220010
Lineage: Eukaryota; Metazoa; Arthropoda; Insecta; Hymenoptera; Figitidae
Description: tRNA-Cys
Source: RNAcentral
AGUUUAGUAGUUAAAAUAAAAAUAUUAAGUUGCAAACUUAAAGUUAUAAUUUUAGUUAUUUAAGCUA